CACGUAGGGCGCAAGCGUUGUCCGGAAUUAUUGGGCGUAAAGAGCUCGUAGGCGGUCUGUUGCGUCCGCUGUGAAAACUCGGGGCUUAACCCCGAGCCUGCAGUGGAUACGGGCAGACUAGAGGUAGGUAGGGGAGAAUGGAAUUCCCGGUGUAGCGGUGAAAUGCGCAGAUAUCGGGAGGAACACCGGUGGCGAGGGCGGUUCUCUGGGCCUUACCUGACGCUGAGGAGCGAAAGCGUGGGGAGCGAACAGG
Molecule: ribosomal RNA, 253 nt
Filed under: uncultured bacterium
Lineage: Bacteria
Description: partial 16S ribosomal RNA
Rfam family: Bacterial small subunit ribosomal RNA
Source: RNAcentral